UCAUAUGCUUGUCUCAAAGAUUAAGCCAUGCAUGUCUAAGUACAUGCCGUAUUAAGGCGAAACCGCGAAUGGCUCAUUAAAUCAGUUAUGGUUCCUUAGAUCGUACCUUACUACUUGGAUAACUGUGGUAAUUCUAGAGCUAAUACAUGCAGCAGAGCUCCGACCUUCGGGGACGAGCGCUUUUAUUAGACCAAGAUCAAUCGGGCCUCGUGUCCGUGAAACGUGGUGACUCUGUAUAACUUUGAGCUGAUCGCACGGGCUCGUCCCGGCGACGUAUCUUUCAAGUGUCUGCCUUAUCAACUGUCGAUGGUAGGUUAUGUGCCUACCAUGGUCGUAACGGGUAACGGGGAAUCAGGGUUCGAUUCCGGAGAGGGAGCCUGAGAAACGGCUACCACAUCCAAGGAAGGCAGCAGGCGCGCAAAUUACCCACUCCCGGCACGGGGAGGUAGUGACGAAAAAUAACAAUACGGGACUCUUUUGAGACCCCGUAAUUGGAAUGAGUACACUCUAAAUCCUUUAACGAGGAUCCAUUGGAGGACAAGUCUGGUGCCAGCACCCGCGGUAAUUCCAGCUCCAAUAGCGUAUAUUAAAGUUGUUGCGGUUAAAAAGCUCGUAGUUGGAUCUCAGUUCCAGACGGGCGGUCCGCCUACCGGUGGUUACUGCCUGUUCUGAACAGCCAGCCGGUUUCCUUUGAUGAUCUUCACCGGUUGUCUUGGGUGACCGGCACGUUUACUUUGAAAAAAUUAGAGUGCUCAAAGCAGGCGUGACGCCUGAAUAAUGGUGCAUGGAAUAAUAGAAUAGGACCUCGGUUCUAUUUUGUUGGUCUUCGGAACACGAGGUAAUGAUUAAGAGGGACAGACGGGGGCAUUCGUAUUGCGACGCUAGAGGUGAAAUUCUUGGACCGUCGCAAGACGAACUACUGCGAAAGCAUUUGCCAAGAAUGUUUCCGUUAAUCAAGAACGAAAGUUAGAGGUUCGAAGGCGAUCAGAUACCGCCCUAGUUCUAACCAUAAACGAUGCCAGCCAGCGAUCCGGCUGUGUUCCUCAAAUGACACGCCGGGCAGCUUCCGGGAAACCAAAGCUUUUGGGUUCCGGGGGAAGUAUGGUUGCAAAGCUGAAACUUAAAGGAAUUGACGGAGGGGCACCACCAGGCAUGGAGCUUGCGGCUUAAUUUGACUCAACACGCGACAACUCAUCCGGUCCGGACGCAGGUAGGAUUGACAGAUUAAGAGCUCUUUCUUGAUUCUGCGAAAAGUGGUGCAUGGUCGUUCUUAGUUGGUGGAGCGAUUUGUCUGGUUUAUUCCGAUAACGAGCGAGACUCUAGCCUACUAAAUAGGCGUUCCGAUCA
This 1347-nucleotide ribosomal RNA is filed under the name Semysmauchenius sp. CASENT9053426. RNAcentral describes it as "SSU rRNA". It matches the Rfam family "Eukaryotic small subunit ribosomal RNA", at positions 24 to 1370 of the family's 1831-position model. The record is from RNAcentral. Lineage: Eukaryota; Metazoa; Arthropoda; Arachnida; Araneae; Mecysmaucheniidae.